UACGUAGGGGGCAAGCGUUGUCCGGAAUCAUUGGGCGUAAAGAGCGUGUAGGCGGCUCGAUAAGUCUGCUGUGAAAGUCCAGGGCUCAACCCUGGAAGGCCGGUGGAAACUGUCGGGCUAGAGUCCGGAAGAGGCGAGUGGAAUUCCCGGUGUAGCGGUGAAAUGUGUAGAGAUCGGGAGGAACACCGGUGGCGAAGGCGGUCUUCUGGACGGUGACUGACGCUGAGGCGCGAAAGCGUGGGGAGCAAACGGG
This 253-nucleotide ribosomal RNA is filed under the name uncultured bacterium. RNAcentral's name for it is "partial 16S ribosomal RNA". It matches the Rfam family "Bacterial small subunit ribosomal RNA", at positions 524 to 776 of the family's 1533-position model. The record is from RNAcentral.